GUUAUCAUAGCUUACAAGUUAAAGCAUAGCACUGAAAAUGCUAAGAUGGUCUACACCUGAUUUAACACA
This 69-nucleotide transfer RNA is filed under the name Lycodon rufozonatus (red-banded snake). RNAcentral's name for it is "tRNA-Phe". It matches the Rfam family "tRNA". From Rfam's summary of the family: Transfer RNA (tRNA) molecules are approximately 80 nucleotides in length. Their secondary structure includes four short double-helical elements and three loops (D, anti-codon, and T loops). Further hydrogen bonds mediate the characteristic L-shaped molecular structure. tRNAs have two regions of fundamental functional importance: the anti-codon, which is responsible for specific mRNA codon recognition, and the 3' end, to which the tRNAs corresponding amino acid is attached (by aminoacyl-tRNA synthetases). tRNAs cope with the degeneracy of the genetic code in two manners: having more than one tRNA (with a specific anti-codon) for a particular amino acid; and 'wobble' base-pairing, i.e. permitting non-standard base-pairing at the 3rd anti-codon position. The record is from RNAcentral. Lineage: Eukaryota; Metazoa; Chordata; Lepidosauria; Squamata; Colubridae.